GACGAACGCUGGCGGCGUGCUUAACACAUGCAAGUCGAACGGAAAGGCCCUGCUUUUGUGGGGUGCUCGAGUGGCGAACGGGUGAGUAACACGUGAGUAACCUGCCCUUGACUUUGGGAUAACUUCAGGAAACUGGGGCUAAUACCGGAUAGGAGCUCCUGCUGCACGGUGGGGGUUGGAAAGUUUCGGCGGUUGGGGAUGGACUCGCGGCUUAUCAGCUUGUUGGUGGGGUAGUGGCUUACCAAGGCUUUGACGGGUAGCCGGCCUGAGAGGGUGACCGGCCACAGUGGGACUGAGAUACGGGCCAGAAUGCUAAGGGAGGCAGCAGGGGGGAAUAUUGCACAAUGGGCGGAAGGCUGAUGCAGGAACGGCGGGUGGGGGAUGACGGCCUUUGGGUUGUAAACCGCUUUCGGCUGUGACGAAGCGUGAGUGACGGUAAUGGGUAAAGAAGCACCGGCUAACUACGUG
This 468-nucleotide ribosomal RNA is filed under the name uncultured bacterium. RNAcentral's name for it is "partial 16S ribosomal RNA". It matches the Rfam family "Bacterial small subunit ribosomal RNA", at positions 28 to 507 of the family's 1533-position model. The record is from RNAcentral.